UUGUCACUCAUGGAACUCGGGAAG
This 24-nucleotide non-coding RNA is filed under the name Rattus norvegicus (Norway rat). The record is from RNAcentral. Lineage: Eukaryota; Metazoa; Chordata; Mammalia; Rodentia; Muridae.